CAGCAGCCACGGUAAUACGUAGGUGGCAAGCGUUGUCCGGAAUUAUUGGGCGUAAAGGGCCCGCAGGCGGUUUCUUAAGUCUGAUGUGAAAGCCCCCGGCUCAACCGGGGAGGGUCAUUGGAAACUGGGAAACUUGAGUGCAGAAGAGGAGAGUGGAAUUCCACGUGUAGCGGUGAAAUGCGUAGAGAUGUGGAGGAACACCAGUGGCGAAGGCGACUCUCUGGUCUGUAACUGACGCUGAGGAGCGAAAGCGUGGGGAGCGAACAGGAUUAGAUACCCCCGUAGUCCCUGUCUCUUAUAA
RNAcentral lists this ribosomal RNA (301 nucleotides) under uncultured bacterium. RNAcentral's name for it is "partial 16S ribosomal RNA". It matches the Rfam family "Bacterial small subunit ribosomal RNA", at positions 509 to 809 of the family's 1533-position model. The record is from RNAcentral.